AGUGAGCGGUUCUGAGGUCGUCACUGUGUCUAUUCUCCCCUUUCUCUCUUCCCCGUCGAGCCUCUCGCGGCGAUUCGCGACGCCGCCUCUCCGUGCUCCUCUCCGUCGAGGCCCCUCAGCACCGCGGCGAUUGAAGAGGCAACAUCGCCUCUCCUUGCUCCUCCCCGUCGAGGCCUGUCGGAGCGGGUAUAUCGGUGGCCGUGACGGCCGCCACGCCCACCCCGGCGGUGGUCAUGUCCGCGCCUCUGCCAGCGCCAGCGCCGGCGCCAUACUCCCAGCUCGCGCCGCUCGUGGCUGCGCAAGACCAAGCGGAAGGCCAUGCUCGCCGCGCUCGAGAAGAUCCGCGAAGGUAACGCACGCACGCUCCCUCCCACGCCGUCUCGCUCCUUCGUCCUCACCUGCUUUAUCGCCCGUUCCGGAACCUAAUCUGGACGCGCUUGCUCUUGUGCUGCCUGCUGAAUUGCUGGACUAGGUAGGUAGCAGUCCACUCUAGCUAGUACACGUCACUACUGUAUCAUUUCACAAUUUGUGGAGCUCAGCAGCAGCAUGACAUUUCUGUCCGGGAUGUUGUCUGUUUAUUUGCUUACUAGUAUUAGGGAUUAUUAGCCUAUCUGUCCACUCUGCAACUGAAUAUUCAUGGAAGCAGACUGUUAGUCUGUUAGAGUUAGACGACACAUGGAUUGGUACUACAUUGGUUUGCGUUGCAAAUUGCAAUGCUGCUAGUUGUAGACAACCUUACCACAUUGUCUCCGAGACUUCAAGGAUAUGCAGGCUUUGGCAAUACCUUCUGCAUGCCGACCUCUACCUGAAUGUUACGCCUUUGAAAGUUCAAUGGAAAUCUCACGACUGUAAACACUGAUAUAUUCAUAUUGUAUGAUUAUGAUCGAUGUGUUGUCAUAGAUGACCGGAUUGAGUGACUUAGAAGCCUAUUCAUUGAUAUUUAGUUGGACACAUAACUAUGGCUGAUAGCCUGAUAGCGAUGUUAAACUAGUUGAUGUCUGCCAGGAGCAUAUUCCUUCCUUUUGGAGGUAAACAGAUAGUUAAAAAGUUGCUUGGGUGGAUGGGGCAUGGGUUACGUGUGAUAGCCUAUUCAUUGAUGUUAGCUGUCUGUCUAUCUGUGCGCGGAUGUGUGCGUGAAUGCUGCUGCGAUCAGUGCGUGAAUGCUGCUGUUAGCUAGUUGUCAGAAAUUUGGUGGAUGGUGCUUGGCUAUAGGAGUUGCAGUCUGUGAGUUGCUCCGGAAGCUGCUUGGUGUCUGGGGGUACUGCUUGAUGUCAUCUGCACUUGCUCUGCUAGAUGCAUAAGAGGGCUUGUACUAUGAAUUUUUUUUGAAAAUUUUUCUUUGUAUUUUCUAUGGUUGUUACUGCUAUUUUUGUCCUGUUGUGUUGCAAUGUUUUUGUUUCUUAUUGUGCUUUCACUUGCUAGUAAUUUAUGACCCGAUUAAGCUAAUGAUUGGUGAAAUAUGGACCAGAUUUUCAGUUUUCAGGCUGAUACAAGUGUGAUAUUCAGUGGUAUUGUCUUGCACCACUGCAUCCAUUUACCACGGUAGCAACUAGCACAAAGCGGUGCUCCCAGCCUCCCAAAACAGCUAUAAUCUAUAUUAAGUAGAUUAGCAGAACAACAUUAUACGUUAGGAGAAGCCUCUUUCAGGUUUAUUUAUGUUUUAUUACAUCUUCAGUUUCAGGCUUGCUGGUUGUUUGUCUGUGGUUUAAUGUUUCUUUUUAUUAUUUGCUGUUUGUGCAAAUAAAUACUAACAGUGACUUCGAUUUAAUAUAGUCAUACUUUUAACUUUGAGUGAUGCUUGUACUUUGUUUGAUUGCAAUUGCAAUAAGUCACAAUUCUGCAUACUCGGCCCAUACCUCAGUGGUAGCAUAUAUUUUUAACUGAAUAUAGUGACAGAUUAGGAGAGGUUGUGCUGUGGGGGUUUUCAAAAUUCUGCAUACUCGGCCCAUCCGUGAUUUUAACUCAAGUGCAUUAGGAUAUUCAGGUUCCAUGAUUUUAGGGACCUUUAAUUCAUCUUAUUUCAAGUAACAGUUACAGUCUAAGUAUAUUAUACUUUAUUUACUAAAACAAGAAAAAGCAAUAAAAAAUAUGAUUCUUUGCUUGGAAACAGCUAACCGGUUAGUUUAUAGUGUCCUGGUUAAGGUCAGGUUUACUCUGUUCAAGAGGCGAGUAUGUUAGUUUAUUGUAUAGUGUGAGUGUGUGUGUCGUAUGGCUCUCCUCUGUGUUUGAGAGAAAAUAAUGUUCAUGAGGUCUUUAGCUAAUUAGUGAUGUCCUCAUCUCCUAGAUGGCUGGAUAUACCCAAACACUUAUAGGUUACCAUCUAAUAUAAGAAAUUUCUUUUACUAGAAGCAGAACUAUCUGUUUCUGGAGUUAUCAAUGAGUUGAGUUCCUUCUCUUUGCUUUCUGUUGUGUCGGUCUAUAUGUAAAAUUGAGGUCAAUGGUGCAAACAAAAUGAUUAUGUAGUUCUAUACUUUUGUAACCCUUUUUAAAUAAGGUAAUCUGAAAUAAUAUAAUAUGCUAUCCUUUUGAAACACAAAAUGUAAAAUAACUAAGUUUACGUUGCAGUGAACUAUUUAUAUAGCUCAUCUAAAGAAAUGCAAACCAGAAUAGUGUAAAUUGCAAACACAGGGAACUGCAAUUGUAGUUCUGAGUGUAUGUAAUUUAGUUGUAUGAGCUUGCUAUAUUAUUUGUAUUUUGAUUUUAGCCUAAAAAUAUUAGGUGAAUCCUUAUAGGUUGUCUUCAGGUGCAGAUCAUAAUUUUUCCUAACUAUCCAUGGGGCGAUUGCUCCAUGUCUAAUUUUAGUAUAGGCUAGCAUUGGAUUGGAAGUGCAAGGUAUCUGAACUAAUGUGACUUUGCAUCCUUUUGUCAGUUAGGUAGCAAUAAAUUUGGUGUCUAGGGGUACAACUCGAUUUCAUCAGAUCUGUUGGAAGUGCAACUCGAUUGAGCAUCUGUAUUAGCUAAAGACCUCAUGAACAUCCUUUUAGUCAAUGAUUGUUUUAUCAUGUUGUCCAUUAAUUUGUAUAUUGUUACAUAAUUGCAAUCACUAAUAAUAUAAAUUAUAACUACUAGGAACUGCAAUUUUAGUUCCCAACAUAGGUAUUUUUUGUUAAAAGUUUUUAACUCCACCUACGGUGGGCCGUCUAUGGUGUCCCAUCGUAGCAGGUCCCAAGCCCUGGUAAAGGAGGAGGGUUGAAAUUGUUCUUGUUGAAACUAUUCUUUCUGUUCUUUUGUUUCUGUUUUGCUAUGCAGGCUUGACGACCAAAUAAAAGGAAUAGCAAUGGAGGAAGCUGCCAGAGAUCGUGUCUUGAGCCACCUCCACAUCGUUAGUUAGCGCAUUGAAUGUCAACGAAGAACUCUGCUUCAAGCAUGCUUAGUGGAAAAAAGCCUGUCCAGGCAGUUGUUUGUUUGGUUGGAUGCAUAUUUGAUGAACUAACUCUCGACAUUGGUAUGGCCUAACCUGCACUUCUAGUACCACUGCUGGCUGCACUGCUACUGUAAGCAGCCAUUGUUCUAGUGGUUGGAUGUGGGAGAAGGGAAAGAUGUCAACUUCAAGGAGCAUUAUUGUAGAUCAAAGUUGCACAAGUAAUGUAUCAAGUUCCUUGGCCCUGCUGGACAAAAUUAUGUGUUAGGUUGUAAAAAAACACAUGAUUUUUGGGUUUCUGAAAUUCAUGUGUUUUAUUGGCACAAAACACCUGCGUGUUGGUUGCCUUCAAAACACAUGAGUGUCAACUAGACAGACUCUACAAUUAUGGACAUCAAGCACGUUGGUGCAUGACAUGUACCAAGCCCAGAUUGUAUUGGAGGCCCAAAGCUGUGCUUGACUCGCUUGUCCCAGAAUAAAACCCUCAUCUUGCAAAGGACAACGACGCCUCGACUUCUCCGGUUACACAGGCAAACCCCAAGCCCAACCAAUCUACAGUGCAAAACAACCCAUCGUCGGCUGAUCGUCUGCCACCGACCAACACCAUGGCCAACUUUGAGGUGAAUCCUGUGCCCUACCUUCUGAAAAGGUUCGAUCUUGAACACUGGGCUCGUCCUGCCCGUGGCCGGGUCGUGGUAGCUGGGAAUACACCUCGCCGACACGAAGAGUUUGCCAUUGCGACGCUCACGCCGGCGCCGCAGCCGCAGAACCUGCAACAACUCCAGCAAGCGAUAACGGACGUCAUCAACUACUUUGAAAGGCCUAGACAGGUUCAUAUUGUCUCUGCUUGCCCUUCGCCUCUAGGGCUUUGUUUGCUGGAAUUUCGCUCUGCUGUUACAAGACAAGCAAUGAUCAACCUUAGUCCACAUAUCCUGCCUGGAGGUAGAGAAAUUUUUUUGGAUGAACAUGAUAAUGGACUUAAUCUAAGAGCUAGUCCUUUCAGUAGAGUUUGCUGGAUUAUGUUCCUAUGCUUCCCACUAGAUUACCAGACCAAAGGGUAUAUUGAGCAGGCUGUCAACCUAUUUGGUUCUGUUUUAACAUGGACAAACAAUGACAACUGCAAGUCACAUGUGUCGGUCAGAUGCUCAGUGCUGCACAUAAGCAAAAUUCCAAGAAGUAUCCUUGUUUGUAAACCAGCUGCUGUUGGGGAAGCUGGGCAUUCAUGGACAGUUCCAGUCUUUGUUCUGAAUUCCCAGAACAAUGAGCACAUUCCAGGGGAUGAAGAUCCUGUUCCAGAUAAUGGAAAUCCACAUCCUUUCCCAGGUGUACAACCUGAAAACCAAAAUGACUUCUGGGAGAACAUUCAAGAUUUAGAGGAUGUACAGCAAACAAACAUGGAUGAAGGGUGGGUGCCACCUCUGGUACCUAAUGCAGCAGCAGCAGCUGCAGCUGCUGAUAUUGGGAAUGGCUGACCUGCUUGGCCUCAGGAAGGUGAGGUAGUAGAGCAGAAUGAGUUGCAACAAGUUCAGGCUAUGGCAGAUCAACUAGUGCAUCAAGCAAUGCUGCAACUCCCAAAUGCCUCGCAAUCUACUGAAACGGUCAGCUCAGAUGUCAUGGAUUUUUUCAGAGCUCAGGGUCCACCGAUUAGAUUAGAACUUCCUCUGUUACAAGAUCAGGAACAGCAAGCAGUUAUUCCCUAUUUCAAUAAUGAUAUGGAAAAGGAUAGUGACUAUCUGAUUUUCCGACUAGCAAAAACACUUCAGCUGCACCACGGGUUUGGUCCAAUGCCCUGAGUUCAGAUGCUAGUUCAAGAUAUUAUUCAGACAACAACUGCAUACCAUCAUGAUCUUUACAUUUAGAGGCCUCUGUGCAUUGGUUUGGCCCAAUUUCCUUUUAUGCAGAACCUGAAUCUCCUCUGCGACCCUGGUAAGCAACCUCAGCAAAUACAGGUUCGUUCACCAUAUCUUCCUGGAUACAUUUUCAGUGAGUCUAAUCCUGGCAAAAUCAUUGUGGAUCCUUUUUGGAAAAAUAAUUGGGAAGCUUCCUCCUCUACUGCACCCCCAAUUCCCAAUGUACUAGUUAGGAUGGAAGGGGCUCAACUUUUAGCACCACUAUCAGAUUCCCAGAAUAAUAAUGAUUCCCAGAAUAAUAAUGAUAUGGAAGUUGAGCACAGUGAAACUGAGAACAGAAUUACACUGAUUGAUACUAACUCAGAAGGCUUUGAUUGAUACUAACUCAGAAGGCUCUCCAGUUACUCAUCAGUCGGUAGUAGUACUUCAGGAUAACAUCAAUUGCCAGAUUACUCCACCAGAAAGCCAUGCUACUGCGGCUCUCCAACGCGCACUUCCAGAGGACAUUCAUCAACCCAUUCAGAUGGUGGGACCCAAUCUCCCCAAAACAAGGAAGUCCCAAAAGAGGCUGACCCCAGUGGUUGAGGAUGAGGUGAGGAGAAGCUCUAGACUGCACAAGCUUCCUGGCUUUGAGCACAUGGAAUUAGAUGAGAAAUCCAAGCCAAGAAAGUUGGCUAAGGAAACUCUUCUACAGGGACAGCUACAGAUAGCUAUGGCUGAGUUUGUAUCUGAGGAUCAAAUGUUACUUCAUGCAGAAUUUGGCAAUCAAUUUCUGUGAGGUAGCUCCUACGGAUGUUACUGCAGACAAGCUUCUUUCCAAAGUCUGCGAUGAUAAUGUUUAAUGUACUUGUAAUAAUUUGUGCUCCUCAACACUUUCUCUUUUGCUGGUGGUUACUAUGUCUCCACCUUUAUCCUUUGCAACUCUUGGUUUUAAUGGAUCACAGUCGUAAUUGGAACAUCUUAUGUUGGAAUGUGAGAGGUCUUUAUGACCCAGACAAG
Long non-coding RNA from Sorghum bicolor (sorghum), 6210 nucleotides. RefSeq lists it as uncharacterized. NCBI's taxonomy places the organism in Eukaryota, Viridiplantae, Streptophyta, Magnoliopsida, Poales, Poaceae. The record is from RefSeq and is a predicted model, not a curated record. The transcript has 6 exons.